RNAcentral lists this ribosomal RNA (228 nucleotides) under uncultured bacterium. RNAcentral's name for it is "partial 16S ribosomal RNA". It matches the Rfam family "Bacterial small subunit ribosomal RNA", at positions 524 to 751 of the family's 1533-position model. The record is from RNAcentral.
UACGUAGGGGGCAAGCGUUGUCCGGAAUUAUUGGGCGUAAAGCGCGCGCAGGCGGUUGAUUAAGUUUGGUGUUUAAGCCCGGGGCUCAACCCCGGUUCGCACUGAAAACUGAUCGACUUUGAGUGUAGGAGAGGAAAGUGGAAUUCCACGUGUAGCGGUGAAAUGCGUAGAGAUGUGGAGGAACACCAGUGGCGAAGGCGACUUUCUGGCCUAUAACUGACGCUGAGG